AAUAAAAAAUUUAUUUAUGUUUAUUUUAGUUAAUAUUUUUAAUAAAAAUAAUUUUGUAAUUGAUUUUUUUUAGUAGAGUGUAUAGAAAUAAUAAAUUUUAUUAUAGAUUAGUAGUAUUGUAAAAGAAUAUUGAAAUAUAUUGAAAAAAAAAUUAUUAAAAAGAAAUAUUUAUUUUAUGUACCUUUUGUAUCAGGGUUUAUUGAAUAAAUUUUAUUAUUAAAUAAAUUUCUCGAAUUUAAAAGAUUUAAUAAAUUAUUAAAGUUAAUGUGGAAUAAUUAUUUUAAAUAAUUUAUUAGUAAUGAAAUGUUAUUCGUUUUUAAAUAUAUCUAGUUUUUUAAGAAAUAAAUUUAAUUUACAUAUUUUUGUAUAUAAUUUCUUUUAUAAUUUAAGGAAUUAUUUUUAAAUAUGAAUAUAUUAAGGGAUAAGCUUUAAUUUAUUAACUAUAAUAAAUUAUUUAAAAAAUUAUAAGUAUAGGGUUAGAAAUAUCUAUUAUUAAUAAGUUUGUUUUAAUUUAUAUAUUGAAUUUAUAAUUUAUAUUUAUUUAGAUAAUGUAUUAGAAUAAUUAUUUUAAUAAGUAAAAUAAUGGGAUAAUGAUAAAAUUAGUAUAAUUAUUUGUUUGUAUUAAAAAUUUAAAUAGAUUAGAUUAAGGAAUUCAGCAAAUUAAUACUCACCUGUUUAACAAAAACAUGUCUUUUUGAUUAUAAUUUAAAGUCUAACCUGCCCACUGAAUAUUUUGAAGGGCCGCGGUAUUUUGACUGUGCAAAGGUAGCAUAAUCAUUAGUCUUUUAAUUGGAGGCUUGUAUGAAUGGUUGGAUGAGGUAUUAACUGUCUCAAUUUAAUAAAUAAUAGAAUUUUAUUUUUAAGUUAAAAAGCUUAAAUUUAAUUAAAAGACGAGAAGACCCUAUAGAUCUUUAUAUUUAAAUUUGUAAUAAUUUUUUAGAAUAAAUUUAUUUUUAUUAAUUAAAAUAUUAAAUUGGGGUGAUUAAAAAAUUUGUAAAACUUUUUUUGUAUAUAAACAGUGAUAUUUGAAUAAUUGAUCCAUUUUUUGUGAUUAUAAGAUUAAGUUACCUUAGGGAUAACAGCGUAAUUUUUUUGGAGAGUUCAUAUCGAUAAAAAAGAUUGCGACCUCGAUGUUGAAUUAAAGGUUAAUUUUAGGUGUAGAAGUUUAAAAUUUGGGUCUGUUCGACCAUUAAAUCUUUACAUGAUUUGAGUUCAAACCGGCGUGAGCCAGGUUGGUUUCUAUCUUUAAUAAAUAAAAAUAUUUUAGUACGAAAGGACCAAAUAUUUAAAAUAAUUUUUUUUAGGGAAUAAUAUUAAU
Molecule: ribosomal RNA, 1318 nt
Filed under: Nigronia serricornis
Lineage: Eukaryota; Metazoa; Arthropoda; Insecta; Megaloptera; Corydalidae
Description: 16S ribosomal RNA
Rfam family: Archaeal large subunit ribosomal RNA (bases 1075-1234)
Source: RNAcentral